AGCUGGAAAUUUUUUUUUAUUUUUAUUUUUUAUCACUAAACUACUGUCAUAAAAAGUUAUAGUUUUGUAUAUACAUAACUCCUGAAUAAAAAUUAACAUGGGUUUUGACUGAUUAAAAAAAACCAAAUUUGAUUGGUUUGUCGAUAGUGAGCGCAAAUGAUAAGCGGUUUUAUUAAGCGAGUCAUUGAGUCGUUCAUUCAAACGAUUCGUUCAAACGGCCGAUUCAUCAAGAAUGAGACAGAUGUUUGUGAAUGGGUCAUUGAAUCUUUGACUCAAACAAUUUGUUCAAAACACUGAAUCAUUCAAAACACGAUUGAGUGUUGCUGUGAGAUGCGCUAUGUUGUGAUCUUUGUUUGGAUUCAUCGGAUCUAUUUUUGCUGCUAAAAUAGACCAAAACAGUCAUUAUUUCAUCUAAAAUGUAAGUGACUUAAUAUUAUUAACUUGUUUGUUGAACUGUCAUAUCAGUGUCACAUUUUCAAUCGCGAGGUGAUGGUAAAUUAAGUGAUGGUCAAUUGUCAGCUCUCUUGGUCGUCAGGUCGUGUGAUAUAAACUCUUAGAAGAGAAUGGACCUUUAGAGUUAAAAAAAUAACCUUUAAGUGCAAAAAUGAACUUCUAGCUAUCAAAAAGGUUCAAAGUUGAACUUAAAGGUUCUAUAAUGAUCCACUCGUUAUUUGGCAGUUAUUUUAAGAACCUCUGUUGUGGUAAAGGGUUCAUAUUAGAACCUAGCAUAUUUGAACCAUGAACCAUGAACCAUGAACCUUUUCUAAGAUAUAACGUACUGUAAAGACUAGACAGAGUACAGUUAGAACACGAUUUGCUUAACUGUUACAUUAGUAAAUUAUUAAUUUACACACUCAGUAUUAAUUAAUUUUCUCUUAUUUAGUUACUAAUUGUGAUGUCAGAUGCAGUUGUGGCAACAUUGUUGAUACAAUGUGUUUCGUCUGUACACAUGACCACCUCACAUAUCUCUAAAUUGCACAAUAAUCUUUAGUGCACCAUAUUGUUGUCAAUUUUUAGAACACAAAUUAAAUAUCACAAAAAAAAAACAAAGUUCAGUUUUAUGUUCAUAAAUGAACCAGAAGCUAUUCUGUGUUAAAUGGAGAGGGUGAAGUGAAAUUCUUACUCCUAAAAAUAAACUUUAUGUUCAAUAGGCUAUCUUCAUAUUUUACAGCCGUACAUCCUUUAAAUUUUCCCCAUACCACAUUCAGCCUUGAAAUCUCAGAUAGCCUAUUCAGCUCAGAACAUGACAAGUGACAAAAGCGGAUUAUUUUAAAUGAAUGUGGUUGCAAAACACCUUUUAGACAUGAUCAGGUUGGGCACAUGUUUAUAUUAUUGAGGAACACCAUUAUGUCAUUCUGUAACACUCCUUCGUAUCUGAAGCAUAUUUAAGGUUUCGUCAGCAAGAUUAUUUUUCUUUCUUUCUACCUAUCUUUCUUUCUUAUUAGUAAUUGUUUAAUUAUUAUUAUUAUCAUCAUCAUUAUUAUUAUUUUUACUAUUAUUAUUAUUAUAUUGUUUCGAUUUUGAGAAUAAAAACAAUGAAGAACUGAACCUGGACGACAACAGGACGCUAUUAUCAUCAAUCCUCAAAAGAGACACCGUUGUCCCUAUCAAGAUACUGAAAUUGAUGGAGACACUUUAAUGAAACUAACCAAAAAUGAAGGAUUCAGUUAAAUUUAUAAGAUUACAAGAAAACCUAAAGACUGAGAUGCCAGCAAGACCACAGACACCACGAGUAUGCAGAUGGUGAACACAACAAGUUGUCUUCAGCCCUUAUUACCAAAUACCAGUUCUUGAGAGAAAAGACUGGCAGAGGAUGUGCUUAAAAACAAAUUCAAAAAAGAAAGAUCACCUUUGAUUAAUGUUGAAGAAAAAAUGA
Molecule: long non-coding RNA, 1876 nt
Organism: Cyprinus carpio (common carp)
Lineage: Eukaryota; Metazoa; Chordata; Actinopteri; Cypriniformes; Cyprinidae
Exons: 3
Source: RefSeq, a predicted model, not a curated record